Molecule: ribosomal RNA, 404 nt
Filed under: Actinomycetes bacterium
Lineage: Bacteria; Bacillati; Actinomycetota; Actinomycetes
Description: Actinobacteria bacterium partial 16S ribosomal RNA
Rfam family: Bacterial small subunit ribosomal RNA
Source: RNAcentral
AGGGGAAUAUUGGACAAUGGGCGCAAGCCUGAUCCAGCCAUGCCGCGUGAGUGAUGAAGGCCCUAGGGCUGUAAAGCUCUUUCACCGGUGAAGAUAAUGACGGUAACCGGAGAAGAAGCCCCGGCUAACUUCGUGCCAGCAGCCGCGGUAAUACGAAGGGGGCUAGCGUUGUUCGGAUUUACUGGGCGUAAAGCGCACGUAGGCGGACUUUUAAGUCAGGGGUGAAAUCCCGGGGCUCAACCCCGGAACUGCCAUUUAUACUGGAAGUCUUGAGUAUGGUAGAGGUGAGUGGAAUUCCAAGUGUAGAGGUGAAAUUCGUAGAUAUUCGGAGGAACACCAGUGGCGAAGGCGGCUCACUGGAACAUUACUGACGCUGAGGUGCGAAAGCGUGGGGAGCAAACAGG